GUCAGAUUGGCCGAAUGGUCUAAGGUGCCAGACUUAAGUUCUGGUCCUCUAGUGAAGGCGUGGGUUCGAACCCCAUUAUUAUUUUGUAACA
Molecule: transfer RNA, 91 nt
Filed under: Cordylochernes scorpioides
Lineage: Eukaryota; Metazoa; Arthropoda; Arachnida; Pseudoscorpiones; Chernetidae
Description: tRNA-Leu
Rfam family: tRNA (bases 8-76)
About the family: Transfer RNA (tRNA) molecules are approximately 80 nucleotides in length.
Source: RNAcentral